AUCAAAGUGUCUGAAUGAUUGAGACCUUGAU
RNAcentral lists this non-coding RNA (31 nucleotides) under Rattus norvegicus (Norway rat). The record is from RNAcentral. Lineage: Eukaryota; Metazoa; Chordata; Mammalia; Rodentia; Muridae.